Molecule: long non-coding RNA, 185 nt
Organism: Sabethes cyaneus
Lineage: Eukaryota; Metazoa; Arthropoda; Insecta; Diptera; Culicidae
Exons: 3
Source: RefSeq, a predicted model, not a curated record
UACAAUAGCAGGUGGAUUUAGUUUAGCAGAUAGUGCGGAGCUUAGGUUUGCCUAUCAUCCAUUGUUCUCAACUAAGGAAGGUAAUUUGUUAAGCCUAAUUUCGUUGGUACGUGGAUACCCCAAGUAGUGCAGGAAACACUGAAUUCUUUGAAGCGCACUAAUAAACGGAAGCUAUCAAAUCUCAG